This 275-nucleotide small nuclear RNA is filed under the name Pteropus alecto (black flying fox). Its description in RNAcentral is "7SK RNA". It matches the Rfam family "7SK RNA". Rfam says of the family: 7SK was discovered as an abundant small nuclear RNA in the mid-70s but a possible function has only recently been suggested. Two independent studies have found that 7SK RNA binds the CDK9/cyclin T complex (known as elongation factor P-TEFb). The record is from Rfam by way of RNAcentral. Lineage: Eukaryota; Metazoa; Chordata; Mammalia; Chiroptera; Pteropodidae.
UGAUCUGAAGGAAAACUGGCUGUGACAUCUGUCAACACAUUGAUUUCCAGGGUUGAUACAGAUGGUCUGAGCUGAUCUCUGGUCUCCCUCACUGAUCUGUUUGUGUCCCUUCCAAUGCUACUUGCUCAUCCAAAGUAAAUGACCUUCUGAAAGAGGACCAGUAAUGAAGGGCAUUUAAAAGAUGUAUUCACUUGAUAUACUUUCUAGAUGUUCAAAAUUUAUUCAAAGAUAUAUUAAUCUGUAGAACAGGUAGAUGAACUUUGGUGGUUCCUUUU